CUCUACUGGAAUGCGUUGUUUAUUUACUGGAACUCGCAUCAUUGUUUAGCUUGGGAAAUGGGUUUUUGCAUGUUCAGUGGAGGCUAUCGGGCUGGUUCAGGGUGUUGGUUCUGAUAAUAAUUGUGAUAUUUAAGUGCUUACUGUGUGCCAGGCACUGUUCUAAGCGCUGGGGUGGACAAGCAAGUUCCUGUCCCACAUGGGGCUCAGCCUCAAUUCCCAUUCUGCAGAUGAGAUUACCGAAGCACAGAGAAUUGAAGUGACUUACCCAGGGUCUUACAGCAGACAGUGGCGGAGCAGGGAUUAGACCCCGUAACGUUCUGACUGCCAGGCCUGAGCACUGUGUCCUGAGAGGAAGCUUGGUGAAAGUUGUAGUUAUCUGUGGUGGCUGAAAUUGCGCCAAUUCAUUAGGAUCAUUUUCCAAAGGUGGAAAGUGGAAACAUGAGAACCUGAGAGGGAAACUGGGAUAUUUCCUCCCCCCUUCUCCCAAAAGGAUUAUAUUGUCCAUGACUAAGUGAAGUCCCUUUUCUUUACUGACUUUCUCAGCUUUGAUAAAAGUAAACAAACAGGCUCAGGAGUGGAAUCUGGAAAUGUUAAAAUUGGAUUGGGGACCCCUAGCGAGCGGGGAGGAGGAGAAGUCCAGAUGUGACAGGUGGCUGCUUCCAGGGUCCAAUGGUGAAGAGACCUCCAGGAUGUGAGGGGUACGUUCCUGGUGUCACACGGCCGGAUGGCAGGCAGAAACGAGGCUUAGCGUCCCCCAGGCCGACAGGACUUCCGCCUCGAGACCGGCCCGUCCGAGGGAAGGCCGGCCUGUUGAGAAGCCCCCUACUCGCCCCAAGUCACCAC
RNAcentral lists this long non-coding RNA (843 nucleotides) under Ornithorhynchus anatinus (platypus). RNAcentral's name for it is "lncRNA (ENSOANG00000040318.1)". The record is from RNAcentral. Lineage: Eukaryota; Metazoa; Chordata; Mammalia; Monotremata; Ornithorhynchidae.